Penaeus monodon (black tiger shrimp) is the source of this 157-nucleotide small nuclear RNA. RefSeq annotates it as U1 spliceosomal RNA. The transcript has a single exon. The record is from RefSeq and is a predicted model, not a curated record. Lineage: Eukaryota; Metazoa; Arthropoda; Malacostraca; Decapoda; Penaeidae.
AAACUUACCUGCACAGGAGAUACCGUGAUCAUGAAGGCGGUUUUUUCCCAAGGAGGUCCCAUUGCACCCGUGGCGCUACCCUUGCGAUUAACCCAAAUGUGGUUAACUCGAGUGCGCAAUUUUUGUUAGUUGGGGACUGCGUUCGCGCUAUCCCCCU